UCUCUUGAGAGCGGCGGACGGGUGAGUAAUUGCCUAGGAAUCUGCCUGGUAGUGGGGGAUAACGUCCGGAAACGGACGCUAAUACCGCAUACGUCCUACGGGAGAAAGCAGGGGACCUUCGGGCCUUGCGCUAUCAGAUGAGCCUAGGUCGGAUUAGCUAGUUGGUGGGGUAAUGGCUCACCAAGGCGACGAUCCGUAACUGGUCUGAGAGGAUGAUCAGUCACACUGGAACUGAGACACGGUCCAGACUCCUACGGGAGGCAGCAGUGGGGAAUAUUGGACAAUGGGCGAAAGCCUGAUCCAGCCAUGCCGCGUGUGUGAAGAAGGUCUUCGGAUUGUAAAGCACUUUAAGUUGGGAGGAAGGGCAGUAAAUUAAUACUUUGCAGCAUUGACGUUACCGACAGAAUAAGCACCGGCUAACUCUGUGCCAGCAGCCGCGGUAAUACAGAGGGUGCAAGCGUUAAUCGGAAUUACUGGGCGUAAAGCGCGCGUAGGUGGUUCGUUAGUUGGAUGUGAAAUCCCCGGGCUCAACCUGGGAACUGCAUUCAAACUGACGAGCUAGAGUAUGGUAGAGGGUGGUGGAAAUUU
This 588-nucleotide ribosomal RNA is filed under the name uncultured bacterium. RNAcentral describes it as "bacterial SSU rRNA". It matches the Rfam family "Bacterial small subunit ribosomal RNA", at positions 85 to 670 of the family's 1533-position model. The record is from RNAcentral.